Molecule: ribosomal RNA, 484 nt
Filed under: uncultured bacterium
Lineage: Bacteria
Description: partial 16S ribosomal RNA
Rfam family: Bacterial small subunit ribosomal RNA
Source: RNAcentral
GACGAACGCUGGCGGCGUGCUUAACACAUGCAAGUCGAACGAUGAAGCUGGAGCUUGCUCCGGUGGAUUAGUGGCGAACGGGUGAGUAACACGUGAGAAAUCUGCCCUUGACUCUGGGAUAACUGCGGGAAACUGUAGCUAAUACCGGAUAUUUUCCUUGGUGGGCAUCCACUGGGGAAGAAAGAAUUUCGGUCAAGGAUGAUCUCGCGGCCUAUCAGCUAGUUGGUGAGGUAAUGGCUCACCAAGGCGACGACGGGUAGCCGGCCUAAGAGGGUGACCGGCCACACUGGGACUGAGACACGGCCCAGACUCCUACGGGAGGCAGCAGUGGGGAAUAUUGCACAAUGGGCGCAAGCCUGAUGCAGCAACGCCGCGUGAGGGAUGAAGGCCUUCGGGUUGUAAACCUCUUUUAGCAGGGAAGAAGCGAAAGUGACGGUACCUGCAGAAAAAGCACCGGCUAACUACGUGCCAGCAGCCGCCGUAA